AUGCCUGAGCAGGUGGUCCGGUCAACGUCCUGCUCUCCCCUCUUAUCCAGCUCUGUGCUUGUGCUGUGCGAGGGCCGCGGAGAUUGCACCUCGGAGCCAUCCAGCGUUUCUGUUGAGCCGCAUGGAUCGUCGUCACUGCACCUGCAGGUUGGGAGGGCGGACGACGGAAAUGGGCUGCAGGUCAGUGGACAGACUAACUCGGAAGAGAGAGCUGCCACACGGUUGCGCCUGAUUUCAGCUUUACAGACAGUUGCUGGGGAGUCCACAGAACGGGUAUUCAGAAUGCAUGGAUUGCAGAAUGUGAGUGCUGAGCUUGAUUUGAGCCCUUCUGUCGGUGUGCUCCGUAGCUUAGUGAAUGACAUUAUUCCAUUCCUGCAGAGAGGGCAUGGUAUUGACCCAGCUGGGCCUGUGAACUCCACACGGACGUUGCUGGUUGAGCAAAGAUAG
This 447-nucleotide ribosomal RNA is filed under the name Triticum aestivum (bread wheat). RNAcentral's name for it is "partial small subunit ribosomal RNA". The record is from RNAcentral. Lineage: Eukaryota; Viridiplantae; Streptophyta; Magnoliopsida; Poales; Poaceae.